GAUGAACGCUGGCGGCGUGCCUAAUACAUGCAAGUCGAGCGAACAGACGAGGAGCUUGCUCCUCUGACGUUAGCGGCGGACGGGUGAGUAACACGUGGAUAACCUACCUAUAAGACUUGGAUAACUUCGGGAAACCGGAGCUAAUACCGGGUAAUAUAUCGAACCGCAUGGUUCAAUAGUGAAAGAUGGUUUUUCCGUCACUUAUAGAUGGAUCCGCGCCGCAUUAGGUAGUUGGUAAGGUAACGGCUUACCAAGGCGACGAUGCGUAGCCGAGCUGGGAGGGUGAUCGGCCACACUGGAGCUGGGACAGCGUCCAGACUCCUACGGGAGGCAGCAGUAGGGAAUCUUCCGCAAUGGGCGAGAGCCUGACGGAGCAACGCCGAGUGAGUGAUGAAGGUCUUCGGUUCGGAAAACUCUGUUAUUAGGGAAGAACAAAUGUGUAAGUAACUAUGCACGUCGUGACGGUACCUAAUCAGAAAGCCACGGCUAACUACGUG
This 497-nucleotide ribosomal RNA is filed under the name uncultured bacterium. RNAcentral's name for it is "partial 16S ribosomal RNA". It matches the Rfam family "Bacterial small subunit ribosomal RNA", at positions 28 to 507 of the family's 1533-position model. The record is from RNAcentral.